Molecule: ribosomal RNA, 250 nt
Filed under: uncultured bacterium
Lineage: Bacteria
Description: partial 16S ribosomal RNA
Rfam family: Bacterial small subunit ribosomal RNA
Source: RNAcentral
ACAGAGGCCUCAAGCGUUGUUCGGAAUUACUGGGCGUAAAGCGAAUGUAGGUGGUGAUGCAAGUCAGAUGUGAAAGCCCUGGGCUUAACCCGGGAAUUGCAUUUGAUACUGCGUUGCUCGAGUGCAGGAGAGGUUAGAGGAAUUCCUGGUGUAGGGGUGAAAUCCGUAGAUAUCAGGAGGAAUACCGAUGGCGUAGGCAUCUAACUGGCCUGUAACUGACACUGAGAUUCGAAAGCAUGGGUAGCAAACA